AACGUUACCAAACUGUUGCCUCGGCGGGAUCUUCUGCCCCGGGUGCGUCGCAGCCCCGGACUAAGGCGCCCGCCGGAGGAAUCAACCAAAACUCUUAUUGUAUACCCCCUCGCGGGUUUUUUUUAUAAUCUGAGCCUUCUCGGCGCCUCUCGUAGGCGUUUCGAAAAUGAAUCAAAACUUUCAACAACGGAUCUCUUGGUUCUGGCAUCGAUGAAGAACGCAGCGAAAUGCGAUAAGUAAUGUGAAUUGCAGAAUUCAGUGAAUCAUCGAAUCUUUGAACGCACAUUGCGCCCGCCAGUAUUCUGGCGGGCAUGCCUGUCCGAGCGUCAUUUCAACCCUCGAACCCCUCCGGGGGGUCGGCGUUGGGGAUCGGCCUUCCUUCACGGGGGCCGUCUCCGAAAUACAGUGGCGGUCUCGCCGCAGCCUCUCCUGCGCAGUAGUUUGCACACUCGCAUCGGGAGCGCGGCGCGUCCACAGCCGUUAAACACCCAACUUUCUGAAAUGUUGACCUCGGAUCAGGUAGGAAUACCCGCUGAACUUA
This 541-nucleotide ribosomal RNA is filed under the name uncultured Hypocreaceae. RNAcentral describes it as "eukaryotic LSU rRNA". The stretch from base 176 to 329 matches the Rfam family "5.8S ribosomal RNA". Lineage: Eukaryota; Fungi; Ascomycota; Sordariomycetes; Hypocreales. The record is from RNAcentral.